Non-coding RNA from Ornithorhynchus anatinus (platypus), 72 nucleotides. The record is from Rfam. NCBI's taxonomy places the organism in Eukaryota, Metazoa, Chordata, Mammalia, Monotremata, Ornithorhynchidae.
AGCAGCGUGGCUCAGUGGAAAGAGCCUGGGCUUCAGAGUCAGAGGCCAUGGGUUCGACUCCCGGCUCUGCCA